Molecule: ribosomal RNA, 116 nt
Filed under: Cordylochernes scorpioides
Lineage: Eukaryota; Metazoa; Arthropoda; Arachnida; Pseudoscorpiones; Chernetidae
Description: partial 5.8S ribosomal RNA
Source: RNAcentral
AUACCAUAGUGGAAAAAAAACUGCCUCUUAUUCCAUCACCGAAGUUAAGCAAUGUUGGGCCUGGUCAAUAUUUGGGAGGAUGACCAUGUGUCUGGUAACAUUGAGUGUCGUACUGU